GGAGAAAUACUCAAGUGGCUGAAGAGGCGCCCCUGCUAAGGGUGUAGACCGUUUACGCGGUGCGCGGGUUCAAAUCCCGCUUUCUCCG
Molecule: transfer RNA, 88 nt
Filed under: Butyrivibrio sp.
Lineage: Bacteria; Bacillati; Bacillota; Clostridia; Lachnospirales; Lachnospiraceae
Also listed under: 2 other names
Description: tRNA-Ser
Rfam family: tRNA
About the family: Transfer RNA (tRNA) molecules are approximately 80 nucleotides in length. Their secondary structure includes four short double-helical elements and three loops (D, anti-codon, and T loops). Further hydrogen bonds mediate the characteristic L-shaped molecular structure. tRNAs have two regions of fundamental functional importance: the anti-codon, which is responsible for specific mRNA codon recognition, and the 3' end, to which the tRNAs corresponding amino acid is attached (by aminoacyl-tRNA synthetases). tRNAs cope with the degeneracy of the genetic code in two manners: having more than one tRNA (with a specific anti-codon) for a particular amino acid; and 'wobble' base-pairing, i.e. permitting non-standard base-pairing at the 3rd anti-codon position.
Source: RNAcentral